Molecule: small RNA, 216 nt
Filed under: Arabidopsis thaliana (thale cress)
Lineage: Eukaryota; Viridiplantae; Streptophyta; Magnoliopsida; Brassicales; Brassicaceae
Description: ATSL204830
Source: RNAcentral
CUAAUUUUAACUCUUAUAAUUAGUCAAAUUCAUUGGAUUGUGACAUAUUUUUACCAUACAAACACUAACAAAGCUAUUUACUACUUCUAAGCAAUUGUUUGUUGGUUUUAGCCUCUUUUGAGACAAAAUGGGUAUAAGUAUUGUCUAUACACUCUUAAUAUAUCUUUAACUCUUAGAAUUAGUCAAAUGCAUUGGAUUGUGACACAUUUUGACACA